UGUUUUUGAAUUGGAGAGGGCAGGAGGUGGAAAGGGCUUGGAUUUGCGGUUGGAAGGAAAGGGCAGAAUCCAAGGUCACUCCAAGGCAGCAGACUUUGUUGACCGGGGAGAGUGUGCAGCCAUUGAUCAUGAUAGAUAGGUCUGUUGGGG
Bufo bufo (common toad) is the source of this 150-nucleotide long non-coding RNA. RefSeq lists it as uncharacterized. The transcript has 4 exons. The record is from RefSeq and is a predicted model, not a curated record. Lineage: Eukaryota; Metazoa; Chordata; Amphibia; Anura; Bufonidae.